CCAGCGGGUGGCCGAGGGCGAUGGCGCCGCCGUUGGCGUUGGUGCGCGCCGGGUCGUAGUCCAGCUCCUUGGCCCA
RNAcentral lists this transfer RNA (76 nucleotides) under compost metagenome. RNAcentral describes it as "tRNA-Ala". The record is from RNAcentral.